This is a long non-coding RNA of Macaca fascicularis (crab-eating macaque), 1952 nucleotides long. The record is from Ensembl. NCBI's taxonomy places the organism in Eukaryota, Metazoa, Chordata, Mammalia, Primates, Cercopithecidae.
UUUUUUUUUUUUUUUGAGACGAAGUCUUGCUCUGUCACCAGGCUGGAGUGCAGUGGCAUGAUCUCGGCUCACUGCAAACUUCGCCUCCCGGGUUCGAGGGAUUCUCCUGCCUCAGCCUCCCAAUUAGCUAGGAUUACAGGCAUUUGCCACCACACCGGCUAAUUUUUGUAUUUUUAGUAGAGACGGGGUUUCACCAUGUUGGCCAGGUUGGUCUCAAACUCCAGACCUUGUGAUCCACCCACCUCAGCCUCCCAAAGUGCUGGGAUUACAGGUGUGAGCCACCGCGCCCAGCCCCUAGGGCACCAUUACUGUGUGGCUGUAACAAUGAUCAGGCUGCACAGUUAUCACUGCAAUGAGUAAAAUGCUUGACUGAGCUGCAGUUGGUGUGGAAUAUUGUAGAUAGGUGUCCAUUUGGGGGCUGGAAGGAGGAUUUUUAAUUAAGGAACUGUCAACAGCCAGAGGCCCAGAAAUACUUGCAUCUUUGGAGCAUUGACCACGCCUCUCGCGAAGGGCUGCCUGGAGGAGGAGCCCUUGGCAUGCAGCAGUCUCUGCACUCACUUUGUCCUGAUGGGAUCGACUUGUGAAAUGAUCCUGCACUCCCAAAAAGGCAAGGCCUGUUUGGCCACUCACUAAUUUACUAGAUCAUUCCAUGGUUACUCUGCCCGCUGCCUGCAUGGGACAUAGUGCAGGGAGAGGCGCUCAGUGAACCUGUGGGUGGCCCAAGGGCAGGACGUCCUGGAGCACAUGAUAGGCUGAGGUUCACCAGCUGUCAUAGCGCAGGGCUUGUCCGAAAGCCUCAUUCAAGGAUCCAACCUAAUGGGAGGCAGAAAUGCUCAGGGCCAACCUCGCUGAAGAAGCAACGAGUGACUUGAGUGCUGAGUACUGAGUGCUGGGUGCUGUGCGCUGAGACCUCAGGACUGAAUGCUGGGUGCUGAGUGCUGAGACCUGAGUGCUGAGUGCUGAGUGAGGAGUAGGUUUCCAGAGGUGCAGGAGAGCAAGCCUCAAGGCAAAGGUGUACACGGGAAAUGAGCUCGGUGAGCUGGAGAGAGAACCCAGAGAUGCCGUGAGCAGGGAGAGUGUGGGCCAUGACCUGAGAGGAGUUUGGAGAGUGUGGGGCACCCACAUCCCACCUCACAGAUCUUGUUUAGAAACCGACAUAAGCGGGCGGUGUGUAUCGAGGGCUUUGGGCACAGGGACGGACGAGGUUGAUGAACAGAAAAACCCACUCAGACUCCGCGUGAAGAGCAGGUCACAAGGAGUCUCGUCCUGUGGCUCCCACAGAGGCCAGGUGACCCUAGCUGAGGCGGUGGCCGUGGAGAGACAGAGUUCAGUGAGACGCGCUCACAAGGACCUGGGCAGGCUGGAGAAAGGAGGACAAAGUGACUGUGGCCCGGGUGCUGGGUUUGGAAACUGGAUGAGGAAACCCAGGACGCAAGUGUUUCAGAAGGAGGGAAGGUUGUGGGUGUGGGAGGCCCUGGGGCAGAGGCCAUGCAGGAUGAGGUCUGAACAAUGUCCCUUCACCUGGGUGCCGGGAGGGAGACCCUCACUGAGCUCUGAGAGGGGCGUUUCGGUCAGGCGACUCGGCUGCACGCUCCACGUCCCAUAACAGGGGCAACAGGUGAGCAGAGGAGAAAGGCACAAGGCAGUGGAUGGGUGCCCAUGGUGGCAGGGGCAGUAGACGGGUGCCUGCGGUGGCAGGAGCAGUGGACAGGUGCCCAAGGUGGCAGGAGCAGUGGACAGGUGCCCACAGUGGCAAGGGCAGUGGAUGGGUGCCUGCUGUGGCAGGGGCAGUGGACAGGUGCCUGUGGUGGCAGGGGCAGUGGACGGGUGCCUGCUGUGGCAGGAGCAGUGGAUGGGUCCUGCAGUGGCAGGGGUCAGUGGAUGGGUGUCUGUGGUGGCAGGGGGCAGUGGACGUAUGCUCACAGUCACAGGGGAGCAGAGAACAGCUUCCC